AUACCCACUAGAUGAUUAUGCCUGGAAUGGUUUAUCAUCGAAAGACUCUGGAAACAUGCUUCCAGCGUUGCUCGAGGAUGGGACUGCGUCCGAUCAGGUUGUUGGCGGGGUAACGGCCCACCAAGCCUAUAACCGGUACGGGCCCUGAGAGGGGGCGCCCGGAGAUGGAAACUGAGAAAAGGUUCCAGGCCCUACGGGGUGCAGCAGGCGCGAAACCUCCACAAUGCGCGAAAGCGUGAUGGGGUUAUCCCGAGUGCCGUCCGAUGAGGAUGGCUUUUCACCGGUGUAAGAAUCCGAUGGAAUAAAGGGGGGGCAAGACUGGUGUCAGCCGCCGCGGUAAUACCAGCCCCCUGAGUGGUAAGGACGAUUAUUUGGCCUAAAGCGUCCGUAGCCGGCUUAUCAAGUCUUUUGUUAAAUCUAACGAUUCAAUCGUUGGCCCGCAGAAGAUACUGUUAUGCUAGAGGACGGGAGAGGUCGACGGUAGUCCAGGGGUAGGGGUGAAAUCCUAUAAUCCUUGGAGGACCACCAGUGGCGAAGGCGGUCGACUAGAACGUGCCUGACGGUGAGGGGCGAAAGCUGGGGGAGCGAACCGGAUUAGAUACCCGGGUAGUCCCAG
Molecule: ribosomal RNA, 616 nt
Filed under: uncultured archaeon
Lineage: Archaea
Description: bacterial SSU rRNA
Rfam family: Archaeal small subunit ribosomal RNA
Source: RNAcentral